This 406-nucleotide ribosomal RNA is filed under the name uncultured bacterium. RNAcentral's name for it is "partial 16S ribosomal RNA". It matches the Rfam family "Bacterial small subunit ribosomal RNA", at positions 30 to 526 of the family's 1533-position model. The record is from RNAcentral.
AUUGAACGCUGGCGGCAGGCCUAACACAUGCAAGUCGAACGAGUGGCGGACGGGUGAGUAAUGUCUGGGAAACUGCCUGAUGGAGGGGGAUAACUACUGGAAACGGUAGCUAAUACCGCAUACCAUCGGAUGUGCCCAGAUGGGAUUAGCUAGUAGGUGGGGUAAAGGCUCACCUAGGCGACGAUCCCUAUCUGGUCUGAGAGGAUGACUAGCCACACUGGUACUGAGACACGGUACACAAUCUUACGGGAGCAAGCAGUGGGGAAUAUUGCACAAUGGGCGCAGUCCUGAUGCAGCCAUGCCGCGUGUAUGAAGAAGUCCUUCGGGUUGUAAAGUACUUGCAGCGGGGAGGCGGGAGCAGAAGAAGAAGCCCCGGCUAACUCCGUGCCAGCAGCCGCGGUAAUAG